This 787-nucleotide long non-coding RNA is filed under the name Astyanax mexicanus (Mexican tetra). RNAcentral's name for it is "lncRNA (ENSAMXG00005012686.1)". The record is from RNAcentral. Lineage: Eukaryota; Metazoa; Chordata; Actinopteri; Characiformes; Acestrorhamphidae.
UGGGUGAGUGAGAAACAACUCAGACUUUAGUGUUGCCAAUUGGUUAUGGUAUAGCUGUUGGUGGAUAAGAUGUUGCUAGGUGAUGAAUUUUCCCCUGUUCUGUAGGUGGUAAACUCUAUUGUGGCAGUGAUGUGGGCAUGAGGUCGCUCUUCCUUCCCCUGGGGAAUAAAAGCAGUAAUCACAGUGUCGGGCUGAGAGUCAUCGUUAAGAAUGCGAACGGUCGCACAACCAACACAACACUGUCUACACAGGUUAGAGAUGCCGGCUCUAAUUCCACCAUCCAGGAUUUACGGACUCUUGUGUCUCAGUACGUGACUCAGCUGAAUGGUUCGUCCUCAGCCUCAGUGUUGGCUCAGAUGUUUCUGUCUGUUUCCACUAAUCUGAACAAAGAUCUGAGCAACAAAGAAGAGAAGAAAAAGCUGCGGGAGGAGAUGUUGGGACAUAUGUGUGAUGCUAUGACUGCUGGAGAACCGCUCGUGGUUCUAACAGAGGCAGAGACGACUGCUAACACUGUCUUCAGCCUCGUCACACUGAAGGAUGAGAUCACCACUAACGCUGAGAUGAACGCAUGUUGUGUUCUCAACAAGGUCAGCACGUCCCUGACGUCCACCUCACACACUGAAGGAGAUGAUUCUGCACUGAUGAUGCAGGUAGCCACGCCCAUUUUUCAGGCUGCAGGUAUCAUCCUCGAAGUGUCUGCAAACUCAGAUAAACAGGUAGAGAACUAUGAUGUAAUUACUUUACAUUAACGUAUUUUCCAAACUCUAAGGUGCACUUAAAAUAUGAA